RNAcentral lists this long non-coding RNA (291 nucleotides) under Theobroma cacao (cacao). RNAcentral describes it as "long non-coding RNA (TCAC_LNC000633)". The record is from RNAcentral. Lineage: Eukaryota; Viridiplantae; Streptophyta; Magnoliopsida; Malvales; Malvaceae.
CACACUUCCUCAAACUAAUACUCAAUCAACCACAGCAUUCUUAUACCUUGGGACACUAUCAUAGUUCAACAAAACCUCUCGAGUGUUAGGAGAUAUAAACCAAUUAUGUACAAACUCUAAACCCCUUUGGGUGAAAAUGUCAAAUUUGCAGCUAAGGUAUCGAUACCUUUGGCAAAGGCAUCGAUGCUUCUUCGAUAGAAUGUUUUCUCUCUUUAAGGUGUUGUUACCUAGGGUAAGGAUAUUGAUGCUUUCAAUCCAUAAUGCUUUGCUUAAGCAUUUUGUAGAACAAGA